CUACGGGGGGCUGCAGUGGGGAAUAUUGCACAAUGGGGGAAACCCUGAUGCAGCAACGCCGCGUGGAGGAUGACGCAUUUCGGUGUGUAAACUCCUUUUAUAUAGGAAGAUAAUGACGGUACUAUAUGAAUAAGCACCGGCUAACUCCGUGCCAGCAGCCGCGGUAAGACGGAGGGUGCAAGCGUUACUCGGAAUCACUGGGCGUAAAGCGCGCGCAGGCGGCCCCUUAAGUUGGAUGUGAAAGCCUACGGCUUAACCGGAGAACUGCAUCCAAAACUGAGGGGCUAGAGUCUGGGAGGGGAAGAUGGAAUUAGUUGUGUAGGGGUAAAAUCCGUAGAGAUAACUAGGAAUACCAAAAGCGAAGGCGAUCUUCUGGAACAGUACUGACGCUGAGGCGCGAAAGCGUGGGGAGCAAACAGGAUUAGAUACCCCGGUAGUC
RNAcentral lists this ribosomal RNA (439 nucleotides) under uncultured bacterium. RNAcentral describes it as "partial 16S ribosomal RNA". It matches the Rfam family "Bacterial small subunit ribosomal RNA", at positions 339 to 795 of the family's 1533-position model. The record is from RNAcentral.